RNAcentral lists this ribosomal RNA (2923 nucleotides) under Campylobacter coli. RNAcentral describes it as "bacterial LSU rRNA". It matches the Rfam family "Bacterial large subunit ribosomal RNA". Lineage: Bacteria; Pseudomonadati; Campylobacterota; Epsilonproteobacteria; Campylobacterales; Campylobacteraceae. The record is from RNAcentral.
AAAAAAGGUAAGCUACUAAGAGCGAAUGGUGGAUGCCUUGACUGGUAAAGGCGAUGAAGGACGUACUAGACUGCGAUAAGCUACGGGGAGCUGUCAAGAAGCUUUGAUCCGUAGAUUUCCGAAUGGGGCAACCCAAUGUAUAGAGAUAUACAUUACCUAUAUAGGAGCGAACGAGGGGAAUUGAAACAUCUUAGUACCCUCAGGAAAAGAAAUCAAUAGAGAUUGCGUCAGUAGCGGCGAGCGAAAGCGUAAGAGGGCAAACCCAGUGCUUGCACUGGGGGUUGUAGGACUGCAAUGUGCAAGAGGUGAGUUUAGCAGAACAUUCUGGAAAGUAUAGCCAUAGAGGGUGAUAGUCCCGUAUGCGAAAAACAAACCUUAGCUAGCAGUAUCCUGAGUAGGGCGGGACACGAGAAAUCCUGUCUGAAGCUGGGUCGACCACGAUCCAACCCUAAAUACUAAUACCAGAUCGAUAGUGCACAAGUACCGUGAGGGAAAGGUGAAAAGAACUGAGGUGAUCAGAGUGAAAUAGAACCUGAAACCAUUUGCUUACAAUCAUUCAGAGCCCUAUGUAGCAAUACAGGGUGAUGGACUGCCUUUUGCAUAAUGAGCCUGCGAGUUGUGGUGUCUGGCAAGGUUAAGCAAACGCGAAGCCGUAGCGAAAGCGAGUCUGAAUAGGGCGCUUAGUCAGAUGCUGCAGACCCGAAACGAAGUGAUCUAUCCAUGAGCAAGUUGAAGCUAGUGUAAGAACUAGUGGAGGACUGAACCCAUAGGCGUUGAAAAGCCCCGGGAUGACUUGUGGAUAGGGGUGAAAGGCCAAUCAAACUUCGUGAUAGCUGGUUCUCUCCGAAAUAUAUUUAGGUAUAGCGUUGUGUCGUAAUAUAAGGGGGUAGAGCACUGAAUGGGCUAGGGCAUACACCAAUGUACCAAACCCUAUCAAACUCCGAAUACCUUAUAUGUAAUCACAGCAGUCAGGCGGCGAGUGAUAAAAUCCGUCGUCAAGAGGGAAACAACCCAGACUACCAGCUAAGGUCCCUAAAUCUUACUUAAGUGGAAAACGAUGUGAAGUUACUUAAACAACCAGGAGGUUGGCUUAGAAGCAGCCAUCCUUUAAAGAAAGCGUAAUAGCUCACUGGUCUAGUGAUUUUGCGCGGAAAAUAUAACGGGGCUAAAGUAAGUACCGAAGCUGUAGACUUGAUUUUAUCAAGUGGUAGGAGAGCGUUCUAUUUGCGCCGAAGGUAUACCGGUAAGGAGUGCUGGAGCGAAUAGAAGUGAGCAUGCAGGCAUGAGUAGCGAUAAUUAAUGUGAGAAUCAUUAACGCCGUAAACCCAAGGUUUCCUACGCGAUGCUCGUCAUCGUAGGGUUAGUCGGGUCCUAAGUCGAGUCCGAAAGGGGUAGACGAUGGCAAAUUGGUUAAUAUUCCAAUACCAACAUUAGUGUGCGAUGGAAGGACGCUUAGGGCUAAGGGGGCUAGCGGAUGGAAGUGCUAGUCUAAGGUCGUAGGAGGUUAUACAGGCAAAUCCGUAUAACAAUACUCCGAGAACUGAAAGGCUUUUUGAAGUCUUCGGAUGGAUAGAAGAACCCCUGAUGCCAUCGAGCCAAGAAAAGUUUCUAAGUUUAGCUAAUGUUGCCCGUACCGUAAACCGACACAGGUGGGUGGGAUGAGUAUUCUAAGGCGCGUGGAAGAACUCUCUUUAAGGAACUCUGCAAAAUAGCACCGUAUCUUCGGUAUAAGGUGUGGUUCGCUUCGUAUUAGGAUUUACUCCGAAAGCGAAGAAACUUACAACAAAGAGUCCCUCCCGACUGUUUACCAAAAACACAGCACUCUGCUAACUCGUAAGAGGAUGUAUAGGGUGUGACGCCUGCCCGGUGCUCGAAGGUUAAUUGAUGGGGUUAGCAUUAGCGAAGCUCUUGAUCGAAGCCCGAGUAAACGGCGGCCGUAACUAUAACGGUCCUAAGGUAGCGAAAUUCCUUGUCGGUUAAAUACCGACCUGCAUGAAUGGCGUAACGAGAUGGGAGCUGUCUCAAAGAGGGAUCCAGUGAAAUUGUAGUGGAGGUGAAAAUUCCUCCUACCCGCGGCAAGACGGAAAGACCCCGUGGACCUUUACUACAGCUUGACACUGCUAUUUGGAUAAGAAUGUGCAGGAUAGGUGGGAGGCUUUGAGUAUAUGACGCCAGUUGUAUAUGAGCCAUUGUUGAGAUACCACUCUUUCUUAUUUGGGUAGCUAACCAGCUUGAGUUAUCCUCAAGUGGGACAAUGUCUGGUGGGUAGUUUGACUGGGGCGGUCGCCUCCCAAAUAAUAACGGAGGCUUACAAAGGUUGGCUCAGAACGGUUGGAAAUCGUUCGUAGAGUAUAAAGGUAUAAGCCAGCUUAACUGCAAGACAUACAAGUCAAGCAGAGACGAAAGUCGGUCUUAGUGAUCCGGUGGUUCUGUGUGGAAGGGCCAUCGCUCAAAGGAUAAAAGGUACCCCGGGGAUAACAGGCUGAUCUCCCCCAAGAGCUCACAUCGACGGGGAGGUUUGGCACCUCGAUGUCGGCUCAUCGCAUCCUGGGGCUGGAGCAGGUCCCAAGGGUAUGGCUGUUCGCCAUUUAAAGCGGUACGCGAGCUGGGUUCAGAACGUCGUGAGACAGUUCGGUCCCUAUCUGCCGUGGGCGUAAGAAGAUUGAAGAGAUUUGACCCUAGUACGAGAGGACCGGGUUGAACAAACCACUGGUGUAGCUGUUGUUCUGCCAAGAGCAUCGCAGCGUAGCUAAGUUUGGAAAGGAUAAACGCUGAAAGCAUCUAAGCGUGAAGCCAACUCUAAGAUGAAUCUUCUCUAAGCUCUCUAGAAGACUACUAGUUUGAUAGGCUGGGUGUGUAAUGGAUGAAAGUCCUUUAGCUGACCAGUACUAAUAGAGCGUUUGGCUUAUCUUUAAUAAAGCAU